Mus caroli (Ryukyu mouse) is the source of this 756-nucleotide long non-coding RNA. RefSeq lists it as uncharacterized. NCBI's taxonomy places the organism in Eukaryota, Metazoa, Chordata, Mammalia, Rodentia, Muridae. The record is from RefSeq and is a predicted model, not a curated record.
CUGGUUACCCGAGGCGGACGGUCCAAGAGGAGCAGCAGCACGGAGGAUGAGCGGAUGCAUGAAUCUACUGAGGAGACAUUGCUGGUGUUAAAUGCAAGCAGCAGAGAAUUAGACAGAGCUGGAAGGUUUUCAGAAUUCUCACCAAAGGUAAAUUGUCUCCAAUGUCAGGUUGCAACUCAGCAUUUGCAGAAAUCUAUAUCGAUGUUUCCAGACCGCAGUCAAUCCUGUAUGGCUCCUGAGUAAACUCUCCUGCCCUCUGUAAAGUUAGAGUGGUGUCUUCAUCUCCAUGUCUUUCCUGUGGGUAUUUACAUACAUUCAAGAGCUGCGAACGCAUUGAAUGUGAUUUUACAGAGUCCUGGAGACAGGCAGGAAGGCGCUCACAGAAAUGGAUUCUGGCCUUCUGAUCAAGAGCAUCUUCCAUGGCUAUUAGUCCAGGACAUUGUUCAGACAUCGAGUGUGCUGCGCUCCUGCAUGGGCCAUCUCCACAGGCUGGGCAGGCCCAUGGGCCCUCAGCCUUUAUAGGGAAAGAAGCCACUUUGAAAAUCCUUUCUCUUCUGACAGAAGGCAAGGACGGCAGAAACCCAGCCUCAGCAGCUCCUUCCACCCACGUUGGCUGCUAGUCCUUGGUAGCACUCAUUAAGGAAAGAGAGCCAUCUUCAGACACUUCAGUCAGAGCUGCUGGUUUGUGCUGCAGGCACUCUCAACCAUCCAUACAUUAUUUAUGUGGCAAAAAAAAAAGAUGACUUCCUCCUCACA